This 768-nucleotide ribosomal RNA is filed under the name Triticum aestivum (bread wheat). RNAcentral's name for it is "partial small subunit ribosomal RNA". Lineage: Eukaryota; Viridiplantae; Streptophyta; Magnoliopsida; Poales; Poaceae. The record is from RNAcentral.
AUGGAUGCGCUCAAGGUGCGCUACAACCGCUACGUGCUUCUGGCGACGGCGGUCGAAGAUGGCGAGGAGAAAGUGACGCUAGCAGCUCUGCUGGCGACCUUGGAGCAGCGUUGCAGAAUGCUAGCGUCGGAGGUGGUCAUUGAGGUCGCGUGCCCACCACAUGACUUGUGGCUGACCUUCUCGAUGGAGGAGAAGUGCACCGUGCUCUUGUCCUCGAUGAAGAUCAAGUGUUGCCGAUGCUGGAUGUAGUUUCCAUGCUAGAGCAGAAUGAUUUGUGCUCAGCCGGGGGCUCUGGAGUACAAGAGGAAGCUCAGCUUUGAUGGCCUCCCGAACCAGGCAUGGACGACAACUUUGAUGCAAGAUUAUCUGAAGGAACUUGGUGGCGAGCUGAUCGAGAUCCUGCCGCUGGCAAGCCGCCGCGAGCUCGAGGUAGUGGCUUGGCUUUGUGACCCAUUAUUUGUAGGCAAGGUGGUGAUAGUUGAGAUACCUGAGCCGAAGCUGAUAAACAAGCCACCCGAGUCCAUGGAUGAGUAUGAAGCAAUGCAAUUUGAAUUGGGUAACUACGGACCAUCGUCACCGAGGAAGAAGAAAACGCUACUGUAUCUAGUUUUGCGUCAUAUGAAGGAGGUUGUCGAUCGUGGUCCUUUGCUCGCUGAAGACUUGUCGGCUGAGUGGCUGCCAGCAGAAGGCGAGGACCUGACUCGCAAGCACAUCUUCAAGACUAUGAUGGGCAAGAUUGAUGGCAGUGACGACACUGGAGCAGUUUGA